RNAcentral lists this ribosomal RNA (351 nucleotides) under Triticum aestivum (bread wheat). RNAcentral's name for it is "partial small subunit ribosomal RNA". Lineage: Eukaryota; Viridiplantae; Streptophyta; Magnoliopsida; Poales; Poaceae. The record is from RNAcentral.
AUGGUCACGCCGACGCGCCACUCCCGCACGACGAGCCGCCGGUUGGUGAUCUGGUCAGUGAGCAGAGGGAAGCACAGCAUGGGCACUCCCGCCCACACGCUCUCCAGCACGGAGUUCCACCCGCAGUGCGUCAGGAAUCCACCCACCGCGGCGUGGGAGAGCACCUCCACCUGGCAGCACCACGGCACCACCAGCCCGCGCCCGGCGGACGCCGCCGCGAACCCCUCGGGCAGCGGGUCCGGGUCGUCGGAGCUCACGAUGCCCGGCCGCAUCACCCACAGGAACCUCGCGCCGCUGGCCAGGACUCCCCGGGCGAUCUCGCGCAGCUCCUGCCUGGUGACGUGCGCGUAG